Molecule: long non-coding RNA, 496 nt
Organism: Mesocricetus auratus (golden hamster)
Lineage: Eukaryota; Metazoa; Chordata; Mammalia; Rodentia; Cricetidae
Exons: 2
Source: RefSeq, a predicted model, not a curated record
UCAACAUGUGAAGCCAUGGGGGUAGGACGCCGGGAACUAUUCUCCGAUUCAGCUCUGACCCUGAAUUAUCUUGGCUUCACUGAUGUCCCCAGCUCAGCAGAUGGACAGCAGCUGAGUGGCCUGACUACUUUAAGGGUGAAUCACAUCUUUAGGAACUCCUUGAAUAGCGUCCUGAAGGAGGAGAAAAGUGCAAGGAUAAAGGCUCAGUGGGCAUUUCAGGGUACAGAAGGCUUGACUGCCUGAGGUCAUAGGUCACUUCAGAAUCCAGGAAGAGGCAGAGGCCCCUCUCCACAGAAGAAGCCUCUUGCUGAAACUACAGCUUCCAGGACUAUGACUGUGACACUUGUAUCUCUGUGAACACAAGGUUCAGGAGUAUUUUGUCCAGGGAUCCUCCGUCCUCCUCCCACAUGACAUCAAGGGAAGGAGGGUUUUCUGACUCUUGAAGGGGCUGGAGAUAAACUGAAGCCACAGUCUCCAUUAAAGCUGCAGUUCUGUA